CGGGCUGCCCACACGUCGCCACCGUUCAGCUCUGUGCGACUCUUUCUGAAAAUUUAUAUUUAUGCGUGUGAGCUUGUUAAUAUGAGAGAAAGCUAUUAUCUCUUCGUUGGUGGAUGGCAUCGGAUGUGAGGUCCAAAUAAAUAGUGUGUGCAUCGGUCUCCCAUUUUGCUUCUCUCUACUCAACGCAUGAAGGGCUUCUCUCGACUCUGCAUUCCUUUGCGUCUCUCUCUAGCAGACGACGAUUCUCUUUCUCUGAGAAACUGCAACUGUUCCAGGUUCUUCCUCUUCCUUUUUUCUUUAAGUGUUCACUGUAGAAGGGGUUCUUGCACAGAGUUCUUUCGAAGAAAAUUUGAUUCGCUUUCAGAUUGGGGGUUUUACCAAUUUUUAUAUAGAUUUUUUGUUCGAAAUCAUGGUUCUUUUUUAAAUUAGCAUUCUACAAAAAUAAGCUCUGAUUAUUUGUGCCACUUUUAGAGUUGAUUUGUACUUCUUGUUGCAGAAUUUCCAGCAUAAAUUUAGAUCUUUUUAUUAUUAAGAAAUAAGUUAUUCUAUAGUAUUUGAAGCAUUCCUUUGUAAUGAAGUUAGGGUUUCUCUAUGAGAUUUGAUUUUACUAUGUUUGAAAUAGGGUUUCUUAAUGAAAGAAGAAUAGCUCUAAAAAAUCUGGGUUUUCCCUCUGAAAUCGUAUGAAUUACAAUAUGUUUUCUUGUUUUCGGGAAUUUAUGAAAAUAUGUCUCCUUUUCUUGUUCCCAUAAUCACAAGGCAAAUGUCUAGAAUGUGUUUGGAGUUAUUAAUGUUCCAAAACACACACAAAUAGUGACACCUUUGGGAUAUUUCUAUGGAGACGUAUCCCAAUGCAUUGAAUUUUUAGAUUCUUUUUACAUUCCUAUUUCCUUAUGAUAAUCUCAAAUGAGUUUUCCUUAAAAAUAGUAGAAAAAAAAAAACGCUAAUAUUAUGGUUUUAAUUGGGAAACCAAGAUCAUCGAAACAUAUACAUGAGAAAAGUAAUAUUUCCAAUACAUUAUUAGAGAACUUAUCACAAUGAAUUUCCAUCAGAAAAGAAUAAUAAGAAUCUCUGCGAGAUUGAAUUAUACUAUCUCAAUUGAAUAGAAUAAUAAGGUAUAAAACAAUCAUAAGUAUUUUGAGCAAUGCUUGCAUAUCUGAGUUCGUAAAAGGGUAUGGAACAAGGCCCACAUAUCCUAUGAACAAAAGGGUAUAGAAUAAAGCUUGCAUAUUUCAUCGAGAUUGACUAAAAUAAUAUGAACAAAACUUGUUAUAAAGCUUUGGCCAUAAAACUCUUUGUGAAAUCAAUGGAAUUUUAAGGUUUGAAAUUUAACUGAAUUAUAGUCCAAGCAUAUUUGUCGCAGCAUGGAAAAUUUUCAAGGCCAUUAAACCUUGGUAGAGAUACGCUAUAAGAUAGUUUCGAUGCGAAAUAAAAUAACAAAUGCACGAUAGGCACUGCAUGUUGGUCAUUCAAGGAUUUUCCAUAUAUCGUUAUAAACGCAAACAUAAAGGGUACCACCAUAUACUCUGACAAAUAAAGGAAAUUUUAUAUACCUGGUAUACACUCCCAUCUACAAACAACGGACUCCCUAUAAAUACAGAGAAUCUGAGAAGUCCUGGUCAUACUAAAUUUACAAUAUUUAUGUAAACAUAUUAAUCUGAAUUAUUUAUUCUUAUUUCUUUGGGUCAUUAUGAAUGUAAUUUUCUUGAUGACUGAGAUUGCUUUCCUCUAUUGACCAACACAAUAUGUCGUAAUGACAUAUUUAUAAUCUUUGAUUGCACCUGAAAAGCACAUUUCUUCAGGUCUCCAAAGAGGACUACAUCUUUAUAUGUGAUUGGUCUAGAAACCAAUUGAUUGCAACAACAAAUUGAAAAAGUUUGAAUGGUUAUUGGCUUGAGACUGUACUUUAUUUGUAUUCAUUGGCAAUGCCUUCUUCAUUGUAAUCCUUUGUUACCAUAGGAGGAUUAGACCUUUGCAAUGAACUAUUUCACUCGAACUUGACCCCGGAUAUUCAAUCUAUGGUAAUAUUUAAUUGGACAAGGAAAGGUGAAUUCCUAUGUGUCACUUUUUCCUUGAUACAAUUUUCUUAUAACACAUUUGAAGUUAGUAUUCUCAUUUAUUUUAUUAUAUUUCAAUUUUCAAAUGAUCAUCGAGAAUAAUUUAAUGAAUUUUUCUUUUGCCAUCUACAAAAUCUUAUUCUCUCUCUCUCACACACACACACGGAGACCAUCAACCUCAUCAUAAUCUUGGUAAGCAUCUCUCUCUCUUAUGCUGUAAUCUGAAUUUUUUUUUUUUUGGAUCAUUGUUCUUGAUGAAUAAGAUUUCUUUUCUCUAUUGGCGAACAUAAUAUGUUGCAAUGACAUUUGGAACCUCUGAUUGCACCUGAAAAGCACAUUUCCUCAGAUCUCCAAAGAAUACUAGAUCUUUAUACGUGAUUGUCUUAGAAACCAAUUCAUUGCAACCAAAAAUGCAAAUGGUUUUAACGGUGAUUGGCUUGACUAGUGUGGUUUAUUUGUAUUCAUUGUCAAUGUCUUCUUCAUUGUAGUUGCCAUUGGAGGAUUGGACCUCUCCAAUGAACUAUUUGAUUCGAACUUGAUCCUGGAUAUUGAAUGUAUACUAGUUUUCAAUUGGAGGAGGAAGGAUGAUUUCCCAUGUGUUGCUUUUAUGUAAACUCAAUUUCUUGAUGUACUGUGUUUAGCAAUCAUUGAUUUUUGACA
This is a non-coding RNA of Amborella trichopoda, 2714 nucleotides long. Lineage: Eukaryota; Viridiplantae; Streptophyta; Magnoliopsida; Amborellales; Amborellaceae. The record is from RefSeq and is a predicted model, not a curated record.